Molecule: ribosomal RNA, 253 nt
Filed under: uncultured bacterium
Lineage: Bacteria
Description: partial 16S ribosomal RNA
Rfam family: Bacterial small subunit ribosomal RNA
Source: RNAcentral
UACGUAGGGUGCGAGCGUUAAUCGGAACUACUGGGCGUAAAGCGUGCGCAGGCGGUUUUGUAAGCCAGAUGUGAAAUCCCCGGGCUUAACCUGGGAAUGGCAUUUGGGACUGCAAGGCUCGAGUGCGGCAGAGGAGACUGGAAUUCCUGGUGUAGCAGUGAAAUGCGUAGAUAUCAGGAGGAACACCGAUGGCGAAGGCAGGUCUCUGGGCUGACACUGACGCUCAUGCACGAAAGCGUGGGGAGCAAACAGG